UGACUGUCAGGCCACCUUAAGCCACAGUACGGAAGAAGCUGUGCUGCCUGUGAGCCCCGUCCAAGGACGUUAAAAGAAGAAGUCAGGCCCCAAAGCCACGGUUUGAGCAAACCGUGCUGCCUGUAGCUCCGUCGUGGGGACGUAAAAACCUGGGAGGCUGCAAACUGUGGAAGCUGUACGCACAGUAUAGCAGACUAGUGGUUAGAGG
Molecule: long non-coding RNA, 208 nt
Filed under: dengue virus type 3
Lineage: Riboviria; Orthornavirae; Kitrinoviricota; Flasuviricetes; Amarillovirales; Flaviviridae
Description: Dengue virus type 3 partial sfRNA1
Rfam family: Flavivirus DB element (bases 153-208)
Source: RNAcentral